This 498-nucleotide ribosomal RNA is filed under the name uncultured bacterium. Its description in RNAcentral is "partial 16S ribosomal RNA". It matches the Rfam family "Bacterial small subunit ribosomal RNA", at positions 28 to 507 of the family's 1533-position model. The record is from RNAcentral.
GACGAACGCUGGCGGCGUGCCUAAUACAUGCAAGUCGAGCGGACGGAUGGGAGCUUUCUCCCAGACCGUGAGCGGCGGACGGGUGAGUAACACGUGGGCAACCUGCCUGUAAGACUGGGAUAACUUCGGGAAACCGGGUUUAAUACCGGAGAACUCUUUCACUCAUUAGAGGGAAAGCUGAAAUGUGGUAGCUUGCUAUCAGUUACAGGGUGGGCCGCGGGGUAUUGGCUGGUUGGUGAGGUAACGGCUCAGGAGGGGGGCAAUGAGUAGCCGACCUGAGAGGGUGAUCGGUCACAGGGGGGCUGAGACGAGGCCCAGACUCCUACGGGAGGCAGCGGUCGGGAACUUUCGGCAAUGGGCGGAAGUGUGACGGAGCAACGGCGCGUGAGUGAUGAAGGGUUACGGAUCGUAAGACUCUGUUGUCAGGGAAGAACAAGUGCCGUAGUAACUGCGAAUAUCUUGACGGUACCUGACCAAAAAGCCCCGGCUAACUACGUG